This is an RNA transcript of Bufo gargarizans (Asiatic toad), 7967 nucleotides long. It is a transcript of the gene named family with sequence similarity 149 member A, with no coding region annotated. The transcript has 15 exons. The record is from RefSeq and is a predicted model, not a curated record. NCBI's taxonomy places the organism in Eukaryota, Metazoa, Chordata, Amphibia, Anura, Bufonidae.
CGCAGCUUUCUCCUUUCUUCCAGGAUCACAGAUAUGCAAUCUUUACUCAUUUUCAGGAUUUCUUCAUUUCAGGACUAAAGACCUAAAGACAGAAGAUUGGUUAUAAAUUAAGAGAAGCCAAAGCAGAACAUUACAUUUUUUUAUUCUUUUUUAGGCUGUGGAAACUAUUCACAUAAUCUAUCGUUUGUUUCUGCUCCUUUCCUAAUUUUAGCUGAUAUCCGGGAUGUACAGUUUUUUACUGACCCUUCAUUUUUGUUCUGUGAAACAGCAUUUGAAUCGCAUAUAUUAGCCUUAUUGUUAAUUUUUGAGUAUAAAGACAUGAAGGUUGCUGUCUUGGACUUGGGAACUGUAUUUGCUAAAUUUUUUAAAUCAUCUGUAUCUCCUAUAAGCCCUGGACCAACCAAUAAUCCUUUCUCUCAAGGCUCUAAUGCAGGGAGCUCUUCAGGAUCAACAGUCCCUUCCCUGGCUGGUAAAACCCCAUUCCUUCUACUUUCUGCACCACCAUCGCCUCUGCACAUCCUCAAUACACCCACUGCAUCUACCUCCUCCUUGUCUCGUAUUCCCUCGGGAAAAGCUUUGACUCCAAGUCCUCACUCAAGUGGUAUUUCUGCACCUAGCAGUCCUGCUCAUUCAGUAAAGCCUCAGCCUUCAAAUUCUGCAUCCAGCAGUUUGGCACAACUUAAACAACUCAAUGAGGAUUCAUGGACAAAUCCAGCGCAUACAGCUUCAUCUACCACAUCACCAGUGACAAUUCUCGUACGUCCAGGACCAACAAGUAUCACUACAAUGACACCGGCAAUGCAAUCUAACCACUCCAGUCGGUCACCAAGGCUUCUUCAAGAGACAUCUGUCUCCGGUUGGAACACCAAAUCUAUGCUUUUCACCCUGCCUGAUAUUGGGGAAGAGAGCACAGAUUAUGAAGACAAUCUCAGCCAUGGAAAAGGAUUGUCUCGAGGUAACGCAGACCCUCGGCUCUCUGACAAAGGAGGUGACCCUCUUCCAGUGCAUUUUACACGGCCUGUCCAGGAAGCCAUCCAUAACUACAUCUGUGAAUCGGUCUCAUCUUUGUCUUCCAGUGGACAAACCACUCCAACAGAUUUAAAUAAUUCUUGGUCAGGGAUUCAAAGCUAUACUACUGGACUGUCCACUGAAAGGAGCUCAGUCUACUCCUGGAGAGAUGAUGAGUUUGAUAAAGCCAACACACAGAGAGUGCAUCAGUUAUUCUGGGAUGUGGAUGAGAUGCUGUUUGAAGGCAGCAUUACUUCUCAGAACAAGAACCUGCAAGCAGAAUGCAAAGACUGGACCAAGAGGUCUCUUCAUCUUAGAAUAUUGGGCAAGCAACUUAUAUUUCCAAAGGAUGACGGUUUCCAGCACUUUCAGGGCAGGAAUUCAAAUUCCUCAUCUUCGAGUUCAUCUACAGGUUCCAAGAGUAUUAAUGAGCGCUCCAGCUCCUUGAGGCAACUGUGUGUAUCUGGAUCACGGCUUGUCCCGACAGUAUCACCAUUACAAAGAACUGAUGAGUCCACAUCUAGUACAAGUUCUUUGGGGUCUGAGUCAUCAGUUUAUUCAUUCCUGGAGGAAGAGAUCUAUGAUGUGGAAGGCACCAUUGAGGAGUACCUUGCCUAUGACAGCAGAGAGCAUGAUGAUGAGGGUUUGGAUCAAAAGAAAACUCAGCUUCACCAAAAGAGGACAAAGCGUGGCAUUCCUCCGGUUUCCCCUAAUGACUGUAUCAAGGACACAGUCGCUGCAGAAGUUUUUGAUGACACUUGGAGGACUAUAGUGGGAUCCAUUCAAGAACUGCUCAUUAAAACAUGGGAAAUUGCCUCAGUUUCAGUGGAAAUAAAACAAGCAGGAAAGAUCCAUAAUUCUGCAAACCACUAUCUUCAGCUUCCAGUUCCUCGUUUAACGUCAGAGACGACAGUCGUUCCUCCAUCACGAGGCUCUGAGGCACGGAGUAGUUCAUACGGUGCUUAUAUUUUUACGCCGCAGACAAUUCGUAAUUUAGGUAGUGACUUGAAUGGAUUAAUGACGAUACAAGCUAAACCUUUGCAGCACCGCCAUGCUGGACUGGUAGAGAAGACACAUGAACAAGAAGAUAAAAGUUUACCUGCUAUGCCAAGAGUAUUAAACUCCGCAAGAAACCGACUUGGAAGAUCGAGUGACAAUAGCAUUUUUUCAUCCUCUCGGCUUCUACACACUCCUUCUAGGAAAACCCCCACCCAGCGAAGACUGCCUGCUCUUACAUUAGAUCCAAUGCGCUCGAAAACACCCAAUGUGUACAGUGAUGAAGUCCUUAGGGGUACAAAACUAUAUACUGGAUUAGACAGGCUGUCUUCACCAUCCAUCCAAACCAGCAGGAACAAACUACCACCAAUUAAUUCAGUGGAAACAGUGGAGCAGCACUUAUCGGUGCCCGGAUCUCGACAUUCUGCUAACAGAACGAAGCAACCACACAGCCGGGUAUCUAGUGCAGUACCUGAUACCACAGGACGCCGACCCCUGCGGGAGAAAACAGUUGUAAUAGAACAGUUUUCAAGACCCAAUACAACACACACCUUUAGGUCAGAGACAUCUCACAGAAGAUCUUUUACUCCAUUGGAUUUUGCUAAUCACACAUGGACUGGACAUUCUUUCCUGACAAGUUCACAGUAUCAACCAAAAUCUUUUCAGAGAAAUCCACCGAAUUCACGGAGAAAAUUCCCAGUGCCGUCUUAAUAAGGAGCAAUAGGAAGUGUGGUUUUGUACCUUUUAAGCCAUCUUGCAGAUGUUCACAGUGGAUUUCACCAUUUGCAAUGCAUUGAAUGAAUUUCAUGGCAAAUCUGCAGUACGCUGCAGGAAACUUCCUACAAUUUAUACAUGUCUGCUCCUUGCAACUAUAUUAAGUGCUUCUGAGUCCGAAAAUUGUAAUAUCUGUAAUAUCAUGGAGCACGUCUCUUCUUAUCCUGUUUUAUAGCUUGUGUUCACCCUCUACGCAAAUUUACAUCAUAUAGUACCAGAUGAGUAUCUUGAGUGCCCCUACCGAUAGAGAGAGGAGCUUCAUUACCUCCAUAAAACGAAAUAUAGCAGCAGGCAAUAGUCUUCUGUCCUUGCAUAUGCGGUAGUGGGUCCAGCGAGACCUCUAGGGCUUUAGAGGUCAUACGGUGCAUAGCAAAGUGCUCCCUAAAGCAUGACAAUUAUUGCUUGGGAUGGAGAACAUGUUUUAUAUGGAGACUUUAAUACAUCGGGCAGUUUUUAUGUCUACAGAAUUGCCCAGUCUACAGUUUGUAAUGAUGUAGUCCAACAUGGCCAGAUGCACUGGGCCUGAAGACAUCUCAGAUAUUGGAGAAACGAUCAUUUAUUUAAAGAAGACCUGUCACCACUCCUGACAUGUCUGUUUUAGAUAAGAGUUUUAUUUUCCUGAGAAUCUUUUCUCAUAAUCCUAUGCUGAGUUGUUCCUCGGUUAUUCCUACUAAAAUCCUAUGAAUAAAUUGACAGCUGAGUGUUACCAGUUGGAGGUUUAUUGCUGCCAGUGUCCAGCACACCCCAUUGACAAGGAGAAGGGUAACAUCCAGUUCUUAAUUUGUUCAUAAGUUCUAAGGAAUGGCACAACUGAGUUAUAAGCAAAGGUGCUCCAAAACUCUUAUUUCUUGGUGGAAUGCAAGCGUGUGCAAAAUCAGACAUGUCCAGAGUGAUCAGACCUAUCUUUCAUACAUUACAUGUGAUCUGAAAUUCUGGCUAUGGAAAGAUUCCCUCAAAUGGGAAAAUGACCGUCAAUCAGUGCAUCACAGCAAAAAUGGGAGCUGAAUGAGGGGAUCGGGUCAUAAUGAAUUUUACAUUACAUAUCCCACUGAUUUAUAAGGAAUAUGGAUGCCUUGUCUGAACAUGAUCUAGGAGUAGCUCAUGCGGACAUGUCUUAUAAUAAUUCAUUUUCUGACAUGAGUGCCUUACACUCGGAGAACUGGCACGACAAUGGCACUGUUUUGUUCUAUAAAUGUGUUUUACAGGUUAAAGUGCAGCCAUUAAUAAUGAUUAGUGUUGAGCGAACUUAUGAGAAAUUCCAUUCGGCUGCUGCGCAAAAUUUCACAAGGAAAUUUGAUUUGUGCCAAAUUACUUUGUCAGUCACAAAAUGCAUUCCUUUGUAUGUAGUAGGCGCAAUGACGGGGAAAGGCGAUCGCGCCACCCCUCCUAUCAUUAAACCCUUUAAAUGGAGAUUUCAUCGCUGAUCGAGGCAUAUGAUGCUACAAUUUUGGGCUUUCAGGGGUUAAUCCGGUAAAAAAAACUAAACAAACCUACUCACCUAAUCCAUUCGCUCGUGGAGAAGCCGUCGCGGCCAUCUUGACUGAAUACACCGGACAAAAUCUGUGACGUCACAAUUCACCCCGCGUGAGAUUUCACUCUGUAUUUUCAAUCAAGAUGGCCGCAACGGCCUCUCUGCAAGCCAAUUAAUGAGGUGAGUAUGUUUUUUAUUUUUUUUCACUGCCAUUACCAACGAAGCAUGAGGAAAUACGGCUUCAUGGCGAAUCAAAUUUUUCCUGACAUUUGGAUCAAAGUCAAUUAAUUUGGCUUCAAUUCACUCAACACUAAUACAGGCAAUGAUGAAAUCGUCGGUGACUGUAAUGAAAAACGGUAAUGGAAAUGUUUUGCUUGUAUUUGAAUGGACCCUGAAUAAUAAUGUAAAGUAAUGCAUAUUACAUGGAAUGCACUUUAAAAUGUUGUAGAAAGCACAAACAUACACGCAAUGUAUUAUAGUGUUAUAUACAGUUUUAAUUUAUAAUGUGUAUAAUCGGAUUCUAUUUUUAUAUCAGCACACUGAUGUAAUGUACCCAACUAUACCGUAAUUGUGACAUUAUUGUAGAAAUUGUCUCAUGCAAUCACACUUGCUAAUGUGUUUCUGACACAAAUGAGUCCAGGAACCAUUUAAUUGUUAGAUAAUUUAGGAAAUGUUAAGAUAUAACUAAUAUGCCAGUUUUCAGGGUUAGGAAAGGUAAUCUUAGACACUUAAAGGGGUUGUCCCAUCACAAGAACUUAUCCUCUUUCCAUAGGAUAAGGGAUGUGUCUGAUAGGCGGGCGUCUGACCACGGGGGCCCAUCAAGUACUAGAAUGGGCCUGUGUUCCUCUGAACUGAGCAGCAGACACACAUGCAUGUCCACCGCUUCAUUCACCUGCAUGGGACUGCUAGAGAUGAUGAAGUACAAGCACUUGGAAAUCUUUCGCGACCUAAUAAAGUUGAAUGAAGUGACAGUGCUCAGGCGUGUCCACUACUCCAUUUAAACACCUGUAAUAAGCGGAAGGAGGAGAGAGGGACACUGGAUGAAAAAAGUGUCAUGAGGUAAGCCACAACAACUGAACACACGUGUAAGAAGAUGAGAGCCUUCUGUAGGUUUGCUGCUGGAAUUCAAGGACCAACACCAGGGAUGAAAACCAGUUGGAUAGCCAGACGUGUAGACUGCAAUAAAGAAAGAAGAAGAAUCCAGGGACCAGCGCUUUCCAUGAACUAAGACUGUAAGAUCAUACAGUAAAAUCAGUCUAAGUACACGUUUUGAGGAAACAAACCCUUCAGAAAAGGACAUAUGAUAUAUCGGUAUCUGAAGAAGGGAUUGUUUUUGUUAUUGGACUGAUUUUACUGUAUGAUCUUGAAUAAACGCCAUCGUUUGUGGAAAGCGCUGGUUUCUGGACUUUUCUUCUUUCUUCAGUACUGCAUUCAAACAGGGGCACUGUUCUUGAGAUCAUAGGGGGGGCCCACAGCAGUUGGACAGUCAAACGCUUAUCCUCUAUCCUGGGCUUAGGGAAUAAGUUUUAAUUGAAAUGCUGUGAUCAAUCCAACAUUAAAGGGGUUGUCCAGGAUUUUGAUAUUGAUGGUCUUUCUUCAGGAGAAGUCAUCAAUAUCAGAUCGGUGGAGGUCUCGCACCCCAGCUAAUCAGCUGUUUUGAGGUGGCUCCAAUGCCAGAUGUUGGGACUGGAAAUGUACAGCUCUGUUUAUAGAGUAGUGGAUGAAGUUGGUAACUGCAGAGUGUUGCUCCAAUUCACAUCAGUGGGAACAGUGCUCCAGUUACCACCUCCAUCCACUACAUAAUGGACAGAGCUGUGUAGUUCUGGUGAUGACUUCUGAACAAAACUGCAAAUCGUUGGGAAUGUAGGUUGUCAGACCCUGCCAAUCUGUUACUGAUGGUCUAUCCUGAGAAUAGGCUAUCAAUAUCAAAAUCUUAGACAUCCCCUUUAAGAAUUUUAUAGAAAGAUAGGUGGUGUCUGACUUUUGACUGCCAUCAUAUAGAAGUGAGUUCCCGUCUUUUGUAAGAAACCAAGGCUGCUGGAUAUGUCUGCAGUUUUUGCAGCAGGAGUGCCCCAGCUAUAGCCAGCAAGGCUGCACAAAUUUUCCCUCGUCCACUACGUUUUUUUGCGGCCUGUAUGCCAAACCAUUCACUUGAAUUGGGGUUUAAAAAAACGGAAAGGAGUGUGCGUUUCGUGUCCGUAUGUCCGCAUGGCCAUUCCGCAAAAAAAUAGUACAUGUCCUAUUAUUGUUCGCAUUACAGACAAGGAUAGAACUGUUCUAUUAGGGGUCAGCCCUUCCCGUUCUGCAAAAUGAGUAAUGCACACGGCCAGGAUCCUCAAUUUACGGACCACAAAACCCUGCGAUUGGGUGCAUGUGCCCUAACUGAUGGAAAUAACUGACCAAAUAACUGAAGCAUGAACUUAGCCUAAAUUAAAUUCAUAGGAUAAAUAAUUUUAGAGUAAAGUUUAGACCUUUAGCCUUCAAUAGAUACAAUUUAGCCUACCCUUAGCUGAGAACUGAACUAGGCCUGUACAGCUUUUCAGUGUGUGGGCAUUUCCAUUUACUGAUGACAUGCAGGUACAGUAUGUUGAAAAUGGUGAUAAAACUGAACAUGAAACAAUUCUUCCCUACUGCUAUUGUGACUCUGCCUCGCCUUCAGAGAUGGAAUUUUAUUAUAGUCUCUAAUAGAAACCUAGAACACUGUACUCUGUAAGUUGAGCACUUCUUGUAAAAAUGAACUGAAUAGGUAUCCAAUAACAAUCCAGAACAUAGGGAUAGUAUGUUACAGAGUCUGUGAUUUUGUGGGUCAGGGACCAUAUUUUGAAUACAUAAUAAGGACAUAUUAUUACCAUUGUUUUAUUUAAUAUAGUUAUUUUCUGAGAAUUUAAUAUUGAUGGCCUAUGCUCAGGAUAGGCCAUCUAUAUACGAUCAUUGGGGGCUUGACCCCUGGCACCCCUGCCGCAGCAUCUUCCUAGACCAGUGGUCACAUGACCUUGGAGCUGUGUUUGGUAUGCUGUGAGGAGACCAAAGCGCAACAGCCUUUUCAAACUGCUGAUAGACAGGGGUGCUGGGAGUCGGACACCCACUGAUCAUUUAUUGAAUACCUGUUCUGAGCACAGGCCAUCAGUAUUUAACUCCCAGAAAAAACUUUUAAUCACAAACCUAAUAAAAACACAUAAAGCUUAUCCAACAUUUAAAAAAAGAAAAAUGAACCAAAAUAUACAGACCCUCAGUAAGGGCAUUUCAGCUAUAUACAGCGUAAUGCACACAUAAUAAUGACAUUACACGCCACCAUAUGGAAAAUCCAUAGCCACACAUCAUCCCAAAUGUUAAGCUGACCCAGAUUGGGCAUUGUGUGCCUGUGGGUCCACCACCUCCUAUGUGUCUUCUAUGUGCUUCUUCUUUGAGUAAUCAUGCAUUGAUACAUGCCGAUAGAUGUUACAUGAACACAAUAUUAGCAGUAUUCACUCAGUGCAGUAUAACCAUUCUCCUAAAACCCUUACCUUGCAAUAAUGUACACUAUGUAAUGAUGAAAUCUUUAUCAUACCUUUAUUCUUACUACCUAAUCAGUGUGUGUCCAUACAAAAUGUAUAUGCUCGUAUUUAAUUGCCAAAUGAUAUUUUUAUACCCAAGUUUGGAAUGUAUUUGCAUUUUUAUAUUAUACAUUAUUGUCAUUUAGUUGUAUUUCGUUUUUUCAGAAUUUUUUCAGAAACUACUA